RNAcentral lists this ribosomal RNA (107 nucleotides) under Propithecus coquereli (Coquerel's sifaka). Lineage: Eukaryota; Metazoa; Chordata; Mammalia; Primates; Indriidae. The record is from RNAcentral.
GUCUACGGCCAUACCACCCUGAAUGCGCCCAAUUUCGUCUGAUCUGGGAAGCUAAGCAGGGUCGGGCCUGAUUAGUACUUGGAUGAGAGAAGUGUGCUUGCUAGAUC